GUGUAUUUAGGUUUGUUAGGGGCAACCGAUACUCAAAUUUUGUCUUGAUUUAGCUUUGUUCCUAUCCUAAAAAGUUGUCAUAAGGACCACUAAUAAGGUUGCCUUUUAUCUGUAAUGAGGAUGGUUUGUAGCCUAGAGAACAAAGAUCCUUGAUAGUAAAUGAUGUGGAAACAAAAGCAAGAAAGGAGCUUGUUCUUAGGACUGUUUGUUAUUUGGGUGUUUCCACUGAGCUUUAGAAGCAAACUUACUGACUUGUUUUUCUGCCCUUAUUAGAGGUGGUUCAUAAGUAACUUCUAUUGCGUUAAUUUUCAGUUCACAGAAUUGCAGUGUUUUCAGUGGUUGUGUCAGCUUUGCGCGGCUUUUUGAUUUGUCACGUGCAGGUUUCCCUUAUCUAAAACUUGUGUACAAGUUCUUAACUUUUUUAAAUGUGUAGGAAAGGAGGUGGUGAAAGGUAUUGUGGUAAAUAGUCCUUGUCAGCUAAUUAUUUUCACAUUGUUCUGUAGGCUAGAACACUAUUUCAUUGACAAAAGUUGAAUGAAAAAUACAAGUAACCAGUUUGCUCAAGUGUGUAGACUUAGAUCAAAAUAAGGUAAAUGCAAUUAGCUCCUAUCCUGCCUUCCCUUUACUCAAUUACCAACUGCUUGCAGUAUAUAUUUGGAAUGUAUUGGAUACCAACUAUGGGACAUGACAGUGUGAGACCAAAGUGGGUCAUUCCAUGGGUUCAGUCACACAGAUGUCUUUGGAGUAGCACCAUAGCUGGCCUCUUUCCUAAACAAGGCUGGAUUUCAGGAAACUAUCCAACAAUAUGUCAGCAAAAUGCUACAAAUAACUUAAUCAGUAUGCUUAAUUUCUUAGUCUUUAUUAUGAAAGAAAACUGGGCAUUUUUGUUUGCACUUUCUAAUGAAUGAAAUCAUUUGUACUGUUUACAGACACUUUACCUGCUUCAGCAGUUCUCUACAAGAUUUUUCUUUGCUUCAAAUCCCUUCUGGAGGCAAGAAUAACCAUGCUGCCUGAGGGUGUUCAAGAAGAGUAAGAACAAGAGUCACAUACCCUAUUCCAGUAUUCUCAUACAGGUAAAUGGUGAGCAGUUGAAGCAAAAUCUGUUUGUCGCAGGAAAUAAAAAUUUGCAUGCUUUAGAAUGAGAGAGUUCUAGCAGAUAUGAAAGUGGCAAUUACAGUAAUAAAAGGUUAACUGUCUUGUUUGUUCUUGCAUAGCAGAUGGGGUGCCAUCAGAAGAGUCAUAUUUGAGUAACAUCAGUAAAAAAAAAAAAAGUUUUGGAUGGAUUCAAAGUAGCUUCAGCUGUGUUCAGCCAUUCCAAAGCUGGAGAGCAGACUGGCAGGUUCUCUUUAUUUCCUCCCUUUGCCUUAAUACAGAAGAAUCUGAAUUUGGUGUUUUUCCAGGCAGGCUGCAGAAGGUAGAUUUGCAUAUGUUGCAAAUCUGAGAUGUGUUCUCUGUAAUACUGCAGAGUUGGAGGAGAGGUAUUUAGAUAAUUUUCUGUUGAGAUAAAGACUUUGUUGUUAGUGAGAUGCUUAGGUACCUGUGCUCUGAUUAUUUAGCAUUAUGUAUUAUUUUGUAUUAAAUUCAGGUGUUUUCAUGGUUGCUAAAUAUAAGUAUCAGCUGCUAACAUCUUAUUCAUAUGCAAAGAGUAACUUUUUUGCUUGUCUAUAGCACUGCAAAAGCAGGGAGUGAAACUUGUAAGUGUACAAAUGAAGUAGGAAGUUGGUAGGUUUAACCUAGAAAUUAUUUUCUUUAGGAAAUGCUAGUCUAAAGUGAGAGAUUUGUUUUUUUACUUGAGGCAUACCUACAAAACAAAAAUCAGUAGCUGAGCAAAUUAGUAUUUAUAUUUAUUAUUUAAACAAUCAUCUUUUUUUACCUUUCCAGAACUUCUGCAACAAGAUGUGAUUCUUAUUUCAUAAUUGUUGCAAUAGAAUUCUUGGGCUGUUUUCCAGAAUGUAAAUUUGACAGGGGUUCCUCAAUGUUUCAGUGAAAAGUACUUGAAAAACCUUCAGGAAGUGGACUCAGCAAGUGUCAGAGGGCAGUUUCCUAAGGUCUUAAAAUGUUAAUAAUUCAACUGGAGAAAUCAGAAAACAUUGAAUAAAUUCUGAUAAUUGCCUCAUAAGUAAAUAUAGUUUUCAUUGCCAUGAAAAGUGUUGGUGCUUGUGUUUAUCAGCUUUAAAGACCUUCUGUCUCCAUCUGUUUAUAUUGCUGCUGUGAAUGAUGACUGAUGUUGCCAACUGAUUGAUUACUUCAGGUCUGUGACAGAACAGAUACAAAAAGCUCUUCAUGUAUACAGGAGAUAAUGUCCUUAUUUCUUAUUCAGACAGUCUAUAAAUAUGCAAAAGUUUUGUGUGUCACAUAUUGGUACUGUUAAUCUAAUAUAUUGCUAAUAGGCAUUGUCAGAUAAUAUGACUAAGAAAUAUAAAAUAUGCUUUUUAUAACACUUAUUUCCCGUAAUGCUGCUUCUGGUUUUCAGAUGGCUAGGACAAAAGGUAACUUUCUCUGGAGUCUGCAGGUCUGGUCUGAAACUUACUGAACUCAGUAACAAAUUAAUCUGAUUUCAGUGACCUUUCAGUCAACAUGGCUUUUGCUGGUCAUUGUGAGGGCUGUUCCUUUCUCAUUUCCUUUAUCAGUGAGAAUCUGUUAAAGCAGCUAUUUCCUGUCUUUGUGGAAUGAUCUUUACCUUUUACUUGUUUUAAACUCAUUUCUACUUUAAAAGACAAAAGAGGGAAUGAUACAGUUACCAAAGCCAGUAUAUUUGAGAUUCCUAUCUAACUGCUAAAUGUGUUGAAAUGAGCUGAUGAAAAAGCUAAUGGAAAGUCUGACAGGUAUACAGGCAUAAAAACCUUCACUGUGAGCUUUGUUGCUUUAAAUAGGUUAUGAACAAAAGUACUUUAUUUUGUAGCUAUUAUACCACUUUUUUAAAGAAUUGCUAUCUAUUUUAGUCAACACAACAAACGAGGGAGUAGACAGUAUGAUUUGCCAGGAGUGUACUGAGUAUUGUUUGAAAGUAAUAUUUAUAAUUGAAAUAGAUGGUUUUUUGCAACUCUUGGUGGCCUUGGCUGAAAAUUAUACCCGAGGUCUUAACAGCCUGGGAUCACAGCAUCAGGGACUGUAAACCAGUUUUUUCUUGCUUUAAUACUUAACUGGUGAUCAAGAGCUGUUAGCAUAAACACAGUGUGUAUUGUUUAAAUAACAAACAUUAAAGCUCUUAGGAACCAGGGAAUACUAGUCUUCAGCAGUGGUCUUGUUUGCUUUUCUGUUAAGAGAUUCAACUUUAUCCUUUUUCACUUUGGCAAACUGGUUAUGGAAAUCCAUAUUGUUAAAAUAUGUUUGAAUGCUUAAUCCUUUGUGAAAAAAUGGUGAAGAAUUAAGAAUUGCCUCUCAUGUUUAUUGGUAGAAAAAAUAGGUGGUGUUCAUCAGAAAAGUCCAGGAGUAUAUUGACUUAGUCAUCUUCAAUAAACAUCAAGAUUGUUCAUGGUGCCCACUGGGUAUCAUAAAAGAAUAUAAAAUCUGGAGAUUACGUGGGCCAAGGUGACUUUUAUCAGAUCUGUAACUGCAUGGACUGCUAACUGUAAUUGAUCUUUUGGGAGUACAGAUAUUGCAGUUUAGUUAUUCCCCUGUCUUCCUGUGUAUAGCAAUGUAACCCCAGUGGACAGAGCUCUGACUUCAGUCAUGAGACUUUCAUUCUCACAGUAGGAGAAUCAGUAUUAAGUACACUAUGAGAUCAAGGAAAAAAAAUUCCAGUUAGAGCACAACUUCAGAAACCACAGGCCUCGAUCCCGCAGGAAAUGUCUGAAUAGAUGUGCUACUGUACCAAUAUAUGUGAAGAAUUGAAA
This is a long non-coding RNA of Pezoporus occidentalis (night parrot), 3836 nucleotides long. RefSeq lists it as uncharacterized. The transcript has 5 exons. The record is from RefSeq and is a predicted model, not a curated record. Lineage: Eukaryota; Metazoa; Chordata; Aves; Psittaciformes; Psittacidae.